Molecule: ribosomal RNA, 497 nt
Filed under: uncultured bacterium
Lineage: Bacteria
Description: partial 16S ribosomal RNA
Rfam family: Bacterial small subunit ribosomal RNA
Source: RNAcentral
GAUGAACGCUGGCGGCGUGCCUAAUACAUGCAAGUCGAGCGAACAGACGAGGAGCUUGCUCCUCUGACGUUAGCGGCGGACGGGUGAGUAACACGUGGAUAACCUACCUAUAAGACUGGGAUAACUUCGGGAAACCGGAGCUAAUACCGGAUAAUAUAUUGAACCGCAUGGUUCAAUAGUGAAAGACGGUUUUGCUGUCACUUAUAGAUGGAUCCGCGCUGCAUUAGCUAGUUGGUAAGGUAACGGCUUACCAAGGCAACGAUGCGUAGCCGACCUGCGAGGGUGAUCGGCCACACUGGAACUGAGACACGGUCCAGACUCCUACGGGAGGCAGCAGUAGGGAAUCUUCCGCAAUGGGCGAAAGCCUGACGGAGCAACGCCGCGUGAGUGAUGAAGGUCUUCGGAUCGUAAAACUCUGUUAUUAGGGAAGAACAAAUGUGUAAGUAACUAUGCACGUCUUGACGGUAACUAAUCAGAAAGCCACGGCUAACUACGUG